This 73-nucleotide transfer RNA is filed under the name Phrynosoma platyrhinos (Desert horned lizard). RNAcentral describes it as "tRNA-OTHER". Lineage: Eukaryota; Metazoa; Chordata; Lepidosauria; Squamata; Phrynosomatidae. The record is from RNAcentral.
GCCCUGAUGGCACAGUGGUUAAAUGCCUGUCCUGCAGAGCCACAAGGUUGCGAGUUCAAUCCUAGCCAGGGCU